CCUACGGGUGGCAGCAGUAGGGAAUUUUGCGCAAUGGGCGCAAGCCUGACGCAGCAACGCCGCGUGAACGAGACGCGCUUCGGGGUGGAAAGUUUCUUUUGUGGGGACCAAAAAUGACGGUACCCACAGAGGAAGCACCCGCUAACUCCGUGCCAGCAGCCGCGGUAAUACGGAGGGUGCAAGCGUUGUCCGGAAUCAUUGGGCGUAAAGAGUGCGUAGGCGGCAAGUAAAGUCAGGUGUUAAAGGCGCAGGCUCAACCUGGGUAUGGCGCUUGAUACUUGCAAUCUUGAGUGCGGUAGAGGUAAGGGGAAUUCCGGGUGUAGCGGUGAAAUGCGUAGAUAUCAGGAGGAACAUCAGUGGCGAAGGCGCUUUACUGGACCGUAAUUGACGCUGAGGAACGAAAGCGAGGGGAGCAAAUAGGAUUAGAUACCCCUGUAGUC
This 440-nucleotide ribosomal RNA is filed under the name uncultured bacterium. RNAcentral's name for it is "partial 16S ribosomal RNA". It matches the Rfam family "Bacterial small subunit ribosomal RNA", at positions 338 to 795 of the family's 1533-position model. The record is from RNAcentral.